Molecule: long non-coding RNA, 1317 nt
Organism: Gopherus flavomarginatus (Mexican gopher tortoise)
Lineage: Eukaryota; Metazoa; Chordata; Testudines; Testudinidae
Exons: 3
Source: RefSeq, a predicted model, not a curated record
UAAAAUAAAUUUAUUAAUCUCUAAGGUGCCACAAAUAUUCCUGUUCUUUUUGCAGAUACAGACUAACACGGCUGCUACUCUGAACAUUGAGACCAAUGUUAAUCCAGAGUGACUGUAUGGAAAGACGAGUGACUCAAGAAGGACAGUGGGGCAAAUGGGAUCAGCAAUUCUCCCUGUGAGGAGGGGCGCUCAUUAGCUGCUCUCCCCGGAGAGCUAAAGGAGGGAAGCUGCUUAGAUGCUCUGUCCCUCUCUGCUCAGGAUAUUGGGGUUCAGCUUCUUGGGUCAGACACUGCAGCCUCCAUUGUGAUCUGGGAGACCAGGCUUGGCAGCUGCUGCUACCCCAGUGGGGUUCUGUGCUGGCAAGUGACCUUAGUUCAAGCUUCUUUUCUGUCCAGCCCAGGGGAUGACUUUCUCCAGCUCGUACUAGCCCCUUGUGGGAGACCUGGGCCCUGUUAAUACCAAUUCUACCACAGACUCCAGCAUGGCAGAAUCUAGGGUGUCUGUCUACAGGGAAAGGGCCUGGGAGAAUCAUCUGGUGAAAUUAACUAAAGUCUGUUCUGAAACCCCCACAACUGUCCUUCUCACCCAGACAGGUGGUAGAAUGACAUCCUUUUUUUGCUCCAGCUCAUCCCAUCCUCCCAUGGGAGAGGGAAGAGAAAUGAGUGCAGGGAAGCCUGUUAAGGGACCGGUGACCUUCGAGGAGGUGUCUGUGUAUUUCACCAGGGAAGAGUGGGCUCUGCUGUACCCCACUCAGAGAGCCCUCUACAGGGAUGUCAUGCAGGAGAACUAUGAGAAUGUGACCUCAUUGGGUAAGGAUUCCCGUCCCCUUGGUUCUUGGAAUAGGAAAUGAAGAGAGAAGGUUCAUGCCAACCCCACAAUGCCACCUCUACUCUGCCCUGUUUCAGCAUGUCAUAAACAAAUAGCUAAGGGUUAAUGUCUCUUUCACCUGGAAAGAAGUAAUCUGAACCACCUGACCAGAGGACCAAUCAGAAAACCGGAUUUUUUCAACUCUGGGUGGAGGGAAGUUUGUGUCUGAGUUCUUUGUUUUUUGUCUGCCUGUAUGCUCUCUCGGAGGAGGAGUGAUUUCUAUUUUCUGCUUUCUAAUCUUCCAUUUCCAAGUUGUGAGUGCAAAAAGGGUUUGUUGUUUUUGUAUUUACAUGUCUAUAGUGGCUGGAGUGCUUUGAUUUGUAUUCUUUUUGAAUAAGGCUGUUUAUUCAAUAUUCUUUUAAGCAAUUGACCCUGUAUUUGUCACCUUAAUACAGAGAGACCAUUUGUAUGUAUUUUUCUUUCUUUUUUAUAUAAAGCUUUCUUUUAAGA